Temnothorax curvispinosus is the source of this 481-nucleotide long non-coding RNA. RefSeq lists it as uncharacterized. The transcript has 2 exons. NCBI's taxonomy places the organism in Eukaryota, Metazoa, Arthropoda, Insecta, Hymenoptera, Formicidae. The record is from RefSeq and is a predicted model, not a curated record.
UUGAGGUUAUGAUUAUAUAUUUGUUACUUGUUUAUAGGAUAGAAAAUGUUUUUUUUUUAUAUAUUCUCUCAGGAAACUAUGACUUGAUAAAACACUUUUGCUUUUAUCCGUUUAACGAGGAAACACAUCUAUUAAAGUGGAUGAAAAUUUAGUAGUCACUGUUGGUGUUUCGUGCAUACGAAUUGGAAUUAAAUGAUCUGCCAAAUAAUAACAUGCAAGGACUUGAUACGGAUAAGCUCUUAAUAUAUCCUAGAUAGUAAAAUGUGUUUGUUCUGAAUACAUAUUGUACUCACGUUUAUUAAAAACAUGAUGGCAAGAAUAGACACGGAUGCGGGCUCAUAUGUUGUUCAGAAUGCAGACAUGUUAUGAAAUCUAUAAAAGUUUACAAAAUAGUGACAUAAUGAACACAUAAAUGAUGUUCAAUGAAAUACUGCAUAUUGUGUGCAUAUAUGUAUAAAGCUCAAAAAAUGACAACAAUUUA